Molecule: ribosomal RNA, 407 nt
Filed under: uncultured bacterium
Lineage: Bacteria
Description: partial 16S ribosomal RNA
Rfam family: Bacterial small subunit ribosomal RNA
Source: RNAcentral
AUUGAACGCUGGCGGCAGGCCUAACACAUGCAAGUCGAGCGGAGCGGCGGACGGGUGAGUAAUGCCUAGGAAUCUGCCUGGUAGUGUGGGAUAACGUCCGGAAACGGGCGCUAAUACCGCAUACUAUCAGAUGAGCCUAGGUCGGAUUCGCUAGUUGGAGGGGUAAGGGCCUACCAAGGCGACGAUCCGUAACUGGUCUGGGAGGAUGAUCAGUCAAACUGGAACUGAGACACGGUCCAUAUUCCUACGGGAGGCAGCAGUGGGGAAGAUUGUGCAAUGGGCGAAAGCCUGAUGCAGCCAUGCCGCGUGUGUGAAGAAGGUCUUCGGAUUGUAAAGCACUUUAAGUUGGGAGGCGUUACCAACAGAAUAAGCACCGGCUAACUUCGUGCCAGCAGCCGCGGUAAUAC